This 578-nucleotide long non-coding RNA is filed under the name Elaeis guineensis (African oil palm). RNAcentral's name for it is "long non-coding RNA (EGUI_LNC013022)". The record is from RNAcentral. Lineage: Eukaryota; Viridiplantae; Streptophyta; Magnoliopsida; Arecales; Arecaceae.
UUGAGGGAUCGAUAAUUAAAUAUCCAUAAAAAAUAUAAAAAUUUAAUUCUUGAUCUUUCUUUUGACACCAAUCUAAUAAAAAAUUCAUGUUGACGAAAACUCAAACUUUCGAUCUCUCCUUUUAGACCUACCAUGAUAGGAUAUCCUUUUGACAUCAUUUUACUUUAAAAAAUAUCGAAUAUACUCUUUAGCCAGGUCUAAUUAUUUUCAGAGGUAGAGGGAAAGGGAGGUAAAGACGGAGGGGAAUGAGAUGUUGGAGAUCGUAUCAGUAGAGCACUUUUCGAUAGAGACAUCGCCGAAGGCCAUGAAUGACGAUGGUGGGUCAUCGAGGUUAGUGAUGGAGGACAGGGAGCACACGAUCAUGGUGGCAGUGGCGAUGGCCGCAACGGGAGGUACCGGAUUUAGAGUCUAAGAGAGGGUGGUGGGAGGAGUAGAGGGAUUUGUUAAGGGAGUAGUGCUUGUUAAGGAGCUGGCAGCCAAGGGAGAGGUAGGGGAUGGAAUCGUCAUAGAGAGCAGUGGUGCAGCAUCAAAAGAUGGUGGAGGGAGGUGACAACAAAGAAGCGGGGGAGAGGGAGAGG